GGAGAAGUGUCCGAGAGGCUGAAGGAGCACGCCUGGAAAGUGUGUAUACGUUUAUCCGUAUCGAGGGUUCGAAUCCCUCCUUCUCCGCCA
Molecule: transfer RNA, 90 nt
Filed under: hydrothermal vent metagenome
Description: tRNA-Ser-GGA
Rfam family: tRNA
About the family: Transfer RNA (tRNA) molecules are approximately 80 nucleotides in length. Their secondary structure includes four short double-helical elements and three loops (D, anti-codon, and T loops).
Source: RNAcentral